GCUGACUCAGUCUAGAAUCUUGGUGUGCUUGCAGGCUUUGAAGAACAAGCUGCCAUGAAUCCUGCAGCUACAAGGAAAUGAACUCUAUUAACUUGAGUGAGCUUAAAACUAGAUCCUUCCCCAGUCAAGCCUCCAGGUGAGAAUUCAAUCCUGGCUGGCACCUGGAUUGCAGCUUACAGAAGACCCAGCUAAGGCCAUGUCUGGACUUUAAAUCCACAGGAACUGCAAGAUGGUAUCAGAAGUGGGACCUGCAGUGGGGCAUCUAGCAACCCCCAGGAGCAUUGAGUGACCAGGCUUGGGACCCACCGGGCGCAGGGUGUCCAUUGUUCUCUCGAAGCAACUGAGAAUUGUGGGACCCAUGAAGGAGCAUCAAGCUCAGCCUCAGAUAUUCUUCAUUAUUCCAUCAUCAUCUCAAACCUCUUGGGUAUAGUGUUUGACUACUACUGUGACCAUAAAUUCCAAUAAAACCUAGGAAAAAUGAAACCACUACAUUAACUGAAAGGGAUCAGUGUAUGUGAGAAGUUUGGAUUUCUACCCCCA
This 540-nucleotide long non-coding RNA is filed under the name Homo sapiens (human). RNAcentral describes it as "HSALNT0347233". The record is from RNAcentral. Lineage: Eukaryota; Metazoa; Chordata; Mammalia; Primates; Hominidae.